This 117-nucleotide non-coding RNA is filed under the name Clostridiaceae bacterium. RNAcentral describes it as "MoCo sequence". It matches the Rfam family "Molybdenum/Tungsten riboswitch aptamer (Moco RNA motif)". The record is from RNAcentral. Lineage: Bacteria; Bacillati; Bacillota; Clostridia; Eubacteriales; Clostridiaceae.
AAUUGAAUAUUUCUCCGAAUUUAAAAUCCUAAGGGCUAGACUAUGGAUUUUAGAUCUGGGUAAAAGUAGAAAUGCUUUUGCCUCCCAUGUUUGGAAAGGAGACAUCAAGUUAUGUCC